CAAAGCACAGAGAGAAAGAGAGAGAGAUUCCAACAGAAGAGAGAGAGAGAGAGCGAGAGAGGGGGAGAGGGAGAGAGUAAGAGACGUACGGCAAAGGGGACUCUUCAGAUUCCUGGUUUCAAUCUGUUUCUCUCUCUUUGAACUCACUUUUCUCUCCCUAUAAAUGUAUGCGAUUUAUGACUGGCGCUAAACGACAACUCAGCUCCAGCUGUGUUUUCUUUUCUAUUUCUUUUCAUGUUCAGAUCUGUGUUCGUUGACACCAAAAAUUUUUGUUCUGGUUUUCAGAUGAAUGAAUUGUGGCUAGGAAGUGGCCUUUCCAGAUGAGUGGUUUUUGAAUGUGCUAAUUUUAUAUAAUAUGUUUGUCAUGAUAAUGCUUACUUUUAUGAUGAUAACGACUAUGUUAAUCAUAUGAAGAAGAAAAAAAAAACAUGUUUUUACAUGAUGAUGAUGACAGCAGCGGUGAUUGUUUGACUUUUAUCUUGUAUUCAUUUUUCUCAUUUGGUAAAAGUAACGAAUUUCUGGGAAUUUCUUAUUGUUUGUUCUUUAGCAAGUUGAACUUAUUACUGUGCAUGAUUCUUGUUAAAUGCAUACUGGUUCAGAAACUUCUUUUUUUAAAUGAGGGUCUGUCUGUCUUCUCUGUUCUUAAUAUAAUUUCUAUAGAUUUUUACCCUGAAUCAGUUGUUCAUAAACUUCUUAUGAUGGAAAACUACAGCUAUGGAAAAUUAUGUGAAAACAUAAUUAUUGUUUUACAUUUGUUGUGCUUCAAAAUGUAUAAUAUAAUACAUCCAUUUUCUCAAAGUUUUCCAUGAUUCUCCCAAGACCAAUCAUUCCCAUGUGUUUUGGUCCUAGUAAAUCAUUGAAGGAGAUGAAUGGAAGGUGGGAAGUGGGUACUCAUUAUUAUGCUUACCCAAAUUUAUUGUCUAGUUUUAGCUUCAUUUCAUGGUGCCACUUUCUUGAGGUUCUAACUAUGAACUUACAAAGGAGAAAAAAAAAAAACAUAUGAGAAUUAUUGGAAUUAAUUCAAUGCCAAUUAUGUGUCAUUUUCUUGAGCAGGUGGGUGUAAAGUUAUUACUUGUUUUCUUUCUCUCAUAAGGGGAACAGUAUCUUUGAAAGGAGGAUUUGAAGUGGCUAUAUGGAAUUGAGGGAAUCAUAGUUGAGUACAAGUUGGCAGAGUAUCUUCAAUCUUAGAAUGGAAAUUAGUUAAAGUUGAAAUAAAUUCUACUACCCAGAAUGUUGUCUUGGAACACAAGUAUCUGCUAGAAUAGUAGAGGGGAAAAGAAUCUAUGAAAACUACAGCAUGCUGUGGACAAUCCAUUGUUUGGUUCUUUAUGCUGAUCCAUUACUUGAAAUUAUCCAGCAUGCCAACCUCAUUAUUCUCUUGUCAUUCUAGUGGAAUAAUCAUCAUUUUGAUUCCUUUCUUUUUUUUUUUUUUUUUUUGUUCUUCUGUUGUUACCAUUGUAAUUUGACUAUAUGGGCAUCACCUUUUUUGUGCCAAGAAAAAGAUCAGUCAACAAAACAAAUGAAGCCCCAACUAAACUUUACCUUAAGAGUCCUCCAAGAAGACAUCUCAAUGGUAAAUUUUCAACCCAUCUAAGCCUAUAAUGAGGGGGUGAGCUUUGAUUGUAUGGAGUGGUACAAUAUCUGACCUCAGUAGAUUCCCCAUUUGAAAGCUUUGCGGCCAAAAAAGUUUAGCAUAUAAUUUGUGUUUCUUUCUAGUUUUGACUAAUGAGCCAAGAAAAAAAAAGAAAAAAAGAAAAAGGAUAUUCAUGGUUUUAAACUUUUUUUCCUGAAUAGUUGUAGAAAAGUUAGGCUGAGAUGGUGAUCAUGAACUACCUUUGUCCCCAUUCAAAUGUUGUAAUGGACCAAAAUAUCUGCAGAUAAUGAAGAUGACAUGAUAGGGUUGGCGGUGACAACGUGGGAUAAUGUGUGCCUAAGAAAAUGACCACUAUGGCAUGUUAAACAUGACGGGAAUGGCAUCUUGUCAUGUAUAUGAUGGGCAUGAUGGGCACUUACAACAUGUACAAUUUGAUUGUGUGCAUAGUGUCGGGUUGUUUGCUCUCUUGGCCCCUAAAUCUAUUAUUAGGUGGCACCUUUUAUAUACAAUUCCUUUGCUCU
Corylus avellana is the source of this 2115-nucleotide long non-coding RNA. RefSeq lists it as uncharacterized. The record is from RefSeq and is a predicted model, not a curated record. NCBI's taxonomy places the organism in Eukaryota, Viridiplantae, Streptophyta, Magnoliopsida, Fagales, Betulaceae.